Ornithorhynchus anatinus (platypus) is the source of this 138-nucleotide non-coding RNA. The record is from Rfam. NCBI's taxonomy places the organism in Eukaryota, Metazoa, Chordata, Mammalia, Monotremata, Ornithorhynchidae.
UCCCUCUCAGUGUCGCUCCUGGUGCGUUUUCAGUACUCUACCAGUCUCGGCUAUGGGAGGGAGAGUCAAGCACAGGUCUACCCAUUCCAUUUCUAGGUUGGCCAGUGCCUAGCAUGUGGAAGACAAUCUGCUACAUGU